CCUCACAGCCGCUGCCGUCACUAUCUUCUCUCGAACGCCCCAUCUUAUCUCGACUCUUCCCUUUCUUGCUACUUAGCAGUCGUCGUCUCUCCUCACCUCCGAUCGAUGACUCUGAUCAACUAUGGCUUCCACAUUUGAUGAAUCUCAGGCCAAAAGAGAGGUAAACUCUCGAUUUAUCCCUUUCAUUUUUACGAUUUCUAACCUUAAUUGAUUCUAAUCCUCAUCGUAUCAUCUUCUAUGAUGGGAGGUCGGCGAAGGGACUGGCUCGAUCUUCUUCUGGCUGAAAUGAUCAUAGAUCGGUAAAGUCUCGUUCCCUCUCGAUCUGUGUUUUUUUCUUACAUUCUAUUCGAAUCUAAAAGUCGUCUCCGAUCUUUCGAAUCGCAGUGGUGGGAACUAAGUGAGCACUAAAUGAGCAGGUAUGACCCUAACUUGUUGAGUCUGUGAACCCUUGUUUUUUUCGUCAGUUGUUUUUUGUUGUAGUAUUGGUUUGACCGACUCUUUGACUGCUCAAUACAAGCUAAUCCAUCUUAAAUCAUUCAUACUUAAAUCGAUUGUUUCACUUUAGACUUUAUCAAUUCUUUGACUCUGCUUAUUGUUGGUUGACCGAUCCUAGCCUAUACAACGAAUCGAUUGUUGUUUAUACUAUCAACCAAAACCAGUGUAAUCUAUCUUCAGUUAGAAUCACCCCUUGUAACUCACAUUUUCGUGCCCGGAAUCACUACUAAUCUAACCUAGUCCAACACUUUAGUCAUGAUAAGUUUAAUGAUGAUGAUAUGUCAUGUAAACAGGAUUAGUGGAAUAAGUAUUUUAAAUGUUUGCUUGAUUAUGUACCUUUCAACCUUGUUAUGAUUACGGAUUUCCUUGAUUAAUGAUUCUAAUUGUUGAAGCUUCUUCUUGCGAGGUGGUUUGAUGAUGCUUACUGCAAGGGCUCGAUAGUACUGAUAAUGGUGAGCUGGAGUAUGGUUUUAUGCGAGGUUGAGUGUAGUUCAAUGUGAAACUUAGGGCGGUGAGUGUGAUAUGAGAGUAAUUUCGGAUUAAUGAUCACACCGUUUUGUGUUUUCUUUUCGCUUGAUUUUUCUGAUUUCAGAGCUUUUUUGUGUUCUAGUUACUCUGGAAUUUUCCUCAGCAUUUCGCCCUUUAUCUGUAGCCAAAAAUUGGUGUAAUAGUGAGUUUCCUAAAAUGUCCCCCACAGGUCUAUCAUAUCCCUAGUAAGCCAGAUGAGCCUGCCAUACGUGGGCCUCAUCUUCUCUGGAAACUGAAUCAAUUCGGUUAUCGUUUUAUAUCAUAGUUCACCUACAUUUGGUUCGGUAAAAUCCUAAAUACUUUUUAUAUUUUUCGAAAUAAACUUGGGGAUUUCGAUAGAAUUUGACACAUCAAUGAACAUUCGUAUCUCGAAAGAAUCGGAUUUUAAAAGGCGAAAAUAACCCUUCAGUCGAUCUAAAAUCUGACCUAUCUGCCUUUACUAAUUUACCUGGCCAAUCUGAUUUUGAACUAAUUCGAGAUUGACCAGUUGGCCUAACCAUCACUGUUGACUCAACCGAUUACGUUUUGAAUUGAACCGAGUUUAACUAGUCAGCCAGCCUAAAAAAUGCUCAGGGGCAAAAUCGUCUUUUACACCGAAUGACACUUAAAUUGAUCUGAUUUAACCGAAUUUGCCCGGAAAUUAACUUAAUUGGAUCGCAACUAAAUCAUGACGUUUCUCCUUAGGCACUUAUGAGCGGUAUAGGUGAUUAGGCUAAUUAAACCUUAUAUUAUACUCGAAAAUUUCAUCGCUUCACCUAAUUGGACUAAACUUCAACGAUGAACUCGAACCGGAU
This 1817-nucleotide long non-coding RNA is filed under the name Linum usitatissimum (flax). RNAcentral's name for it is "long non-coding RNA (LUSI_LNC004891)". The record is from RNAcentral. Lineage: Eukaryota; Viridiplantae; Streptophyta; Magnoliopsida; Malpighiales; Linaceae.